AUUGAACGCUGGCGGCAUGCUUUACACAUGCAAGUCGAACGGUAACAGGCCGCAAGGUUCUGACGAGUGGCGGACGGGUGCGUAAGGCAUCGGAACGUGCCCAGUCCUGGGGGAUAACUACUCGUAAGGGAAGCUAAUACAGCAUACGAUCUAUGGAUGACAGCGGGGGACCGUAAGGCAUCGUGCGAUUGGAGCGGCCGAGGUCAGAUUAGGUAGUUGGUGGGGUAAAGGCUCACCAAGCCAACGAUCUGUAGCUGGUCUGAGAGGACGAGCAUCCACACUGGAACUGAGACACGGCCCAGACUCCUACGGGAGGCAGCAGUGGGGAAUUUUGGACAAUGGGCGCAAGCCUGAUCCAGCAAUGCCGCGUGCAGGAAGAAGGCCUUCGGGUUGUAAACUGCUUUUGUACGGAACGAAACGGCUCUGGUUAAUACCCGGGGUUAAUGACGGUACCGGAAGAAUAAGCACCGGCUAACUACGUG
This 482-nucleotide ribosomal RNA is filed under the name uncultured bacterium. RNAcentral describes it as "partial 16S ribosomal RNA". It matches the Rfam family "Bacterial small subunit ribosomal RNA", at positions 30 to 507 of the family's 1533-position model. The record is from RNAcentral.